Molecule: ribosomal RNA, 567 nt
Filed under: uncultured bacterium
Lineage: Bacteria
Description: bacterial SSU rRNA
Rfam family: Bacterial small subunit ribosomal RNA
Source: RNAcentral
CUACGGGAGGCAGCAGUGAGGAAUAUUGGUCAAUGGACGCAAGUCUGAACCAGCCAUGCCGCGUGCAGGAUGACGGUCCUAUGGAUUGUAAACUGCUUUUCUACUAGAAGAAUAGCCAAAACGUGUUUUGGUAUGACGGUACAGUAGGAAUAAGCACCGGCUAACUCCGUGCCAGCAGCCGCGGUAAUACGGAGGGUGCAAGCGUUAUCCGGAUUCAUUGGGUUUAAAGGGUGCGUAGGCGGAAAAUUAAGUCAGUGGUGAAAUCCUACAGCUCAACUGUAGAACUGCCAUUGAUACUGGUUAUCUUGAGUGAAGUUGAAGUUGGCGGAAUGUGACAUGUAGCGGUGAAAUGCAUAGAUAUGUCACAGAACACCGAUUGCGAAGGCAGCUAACUAAACUUAAACUGACGCUGAGGCACGAAAGCGUGGGGAGCAAACGGGAUUAGAUACCCUGGUAGUCCACGCUGUAAACGAUGAUUACUCGCUGUUGGCGAUAUACAGUCAGUGGCUAAGCGAAAGCGUUAAGUAAUCCACCUGGGGAGUACGGUCGCAAGAUUGAAACUCAAAG